RNAcentral lists this ribosomal RNA (316 nucleotides) under uncultured eukaryote. Its description in RNAcentral is "partial 18S ribosomal RNA". It matches the Rfam family "Eukaryotic small subunit ribosomal RNA", at positions 1470 to 1796 of the family's 1831-position model. The record is from RNAcentral.
CCCCUAGAUGUUCUGGGCCGCACGCGCGCUACACUGACGAAUGCAACGAGCUUAUAACCUUGGCCGAAAGGUCUGGGUAAUCUCCAAAUUUCGUCGUGAUGGGGAUAGAUUAUUGCAAUUAUUAAUCUUCAACGAGGAAUGCCUAGUAAGCGCAAGUCAUCAGCUUGCGUUGAUUACGUCCCUGCCCUUUGUACACACCGCCCGUCGCUCCUACCGAUUUCGAGUGGUUCGGUGAACCUUUCGGACCGGCAAUGCCUCGUGUUGCGCCGGAAAGUCAAGUAAACCAUAUCACUUAGAGGAAGGAGAAGUCGUAACA